CUGGAGUGCUAAUUUCUAGAAAAGAUGAUACAAAUUCUUUUGGUUUCUCCAGGCAAACAAGUAAAUCAUCUGGGACCACUGGGUGGGUGAAUUUAUCCCAGUAUGACCAAAGACAACGCACUAAACAAGUGACAAGGCAAAAUAUAACAUUAAGAAAGUUGCGGAUAUGUUGUGACAGUCGUGUGUUGGGGGAGGGGGACACACGCAUGGUUGGGAUGGACUUCAUGCUCGUAACCAGCGUAAAUCCGGGCCACCCUGUGGUCUGCCUCAGCGUCUGCAUUCAGAAGAAACGCCAGUCCAACAAUUCAAAACAAUUGAAAAACGAUUCCGAUUUUGCCUGUGGAAUUGACAACAUG
This is a long non-coding RNA of Lontra canadensis (Northern American river otter), 356 nucleotides long. RefSeq lists it as uncharacterized. The transcript is spliced from 3 exons. The record is from RefSeq and is a predicted model, not a curated record. NCBI's taxonomy places the organism in Eukaryota, Metazoa, Chordata, Mammalia, Carnivora, Mustelidae.